GCUUUAAUCAUUGCACAGGCGGUGUACAUUGUCGUUGCCCUGAUUGUCAUUGUCUUAUUGACAAUACGGAUGCAGCACUAUAGGCGAAGAGCAAGAUCAUCAAAUAUAACAGAGAUUCCUUUAACGGGAGA
Molecule: long non-coding RNA, 131 nt
Organism: Lytechinus variegatus (green sea urchin)
Lineage: Eukaryota; Metazoa; Echinodermata; Echinoidea; Temnopleuroida; Toxopneustidae
Exons: 2
Source: RefSeq, a predicted model, not a curated record